Non-coding RNA from Thiobacillus sp. SCN 63-374, 83 nucleotides. The record is from Rfam. NCBI's taxonomy places the organism in Bacteria, Pseudomonadati, Pseudomonadota, Betaproteobacteria, Nitrosomonadales, Thiobacillaceae.
UUCUCGUUAAGCCACCCCCGUCGCGAGGCGGGUUCGGAAAGCCACGGGUCUUCAGGCGGGUCGAAGAAAGCCGGGUUGCAUUG